UUGGAGGAAUGUAUAGCGAAAGCCAGCUACUUUAACUUAGCUAGAGUUGGUGUAGUAUUGACUAUCUCGAAUAAAGUUCUAGAUGGGUUAUGAUGAUGACAUUUCCCAUCUAUGUGUCUUGACCAAAUUACGUGCCAGCAGUCGCGGUAACACGUAAAAGACUAGUGUUAUUCAUCUUUAAUAGGUUUAAAGGGUACCUAGACGGUAAAUCAAGUCCGAGAAGGAUACUAAUUUAACUAGAGUUUAAUAUGAGGGGGCACAAAAGUACUGAUAAGUGGAGAGAUGAAAUUCUGUGAUACAAUAUACGGCACUGGUAAAGGCGAAGGCAUCUCAUUAUGUAAUAACUGACGUUGAGGGACGAAGGCUAUGUGUAGCAAAAAGGAUUAGAUACCCAAGUAGUCUUAGCAGAAAAUUAUGAAUGUCAUAGGAUAGAACAACAAAUUUUUUUCUAUAAAUGAAAGUGUAAGCAUUCCACCUCGAGAGUAAUAUGGCAACAUUGGAACUGAAAUCAUUAGACCGUUUCUGAAACAAGUAGUGAAGUAUGUUGUUUAAUUUGAUGGUCCGCAAAAAACCUUACCCCAAUUUGAAUAGAAAAAAAAAAUUUUUUUCAUACAAGCGCUGCACGGUUGUCUUCAGUUAAUGUCGGAGAUCUUGGUUAGUUCCAUUAAAUUAACGUAAACCCUUACUUUAUUUUUAUAUAGAGUAGUUCACCGCUAGAUUGGAUGUGAUAACAGGGACUAAGACAAGUCAUCAUGGCCUUAAUAUUGUGGGCUAUAGACGUGCCACAUAAA
This 791-nucleotide ribosomal RNA is filed under the name Phaeophyscia hirsuta. RNAcentral's name for it is "partial small subunit ribosomal RNA". It matches the Rfam family "Bacterial small subunit ribosomal RNA", at positions 353 to 1233 of the family's 1533-position model. Lineage: Eukaryota; Fungi; Ascomycota; Lecanoromycetes; Caliciales; Physciaceae. The record is from RNAcentral.